This 607-nucleotide long non-coding RNA is filed under the name Helianthus annuus (common sunflower). The record is from RNAcentral. Lineage: Eukaryota; Viridiplantae; Streptophyta; Magnoliopsida; Asterales; Asteraceae.
UUAACCAAUUAAAUACUGAUGGAAUAAAACCCCCAUCAUCCAAAAGAGGAAAAGGUUCCUUCCUUCUCGUGAGCUUCAGGUAUGAUUUUGAAUUUAGAUCAUGUGAAGAGGCUUCAGGUAUGGUAAUCAAGCAUCACGCAUCACUCAUCUUCAUCUUCACCUAUAAUACAUGAUUUGGGGAAAAAAACGUCCGUCGCCCCUUGAUAAUCAUGGUGGUUGGAAACGACAAUCUUCAGUCAUCUCCACCCACUCGCUCCGUAAACGGCGAUCUUCUGUUCUCUGGUGACAACGCAAUUUGAUUAGGUGUUGCUUUUGAUUACUUGGAAUUAGCUCUUCAGAAGUCUGAAGGUUCAUUCUUCUUCUUGAAGAUCUCAGUUUAGUGAGUAAAGGCAAGAUUGGAAUUUGUCAUCUGAUACCGAUAAAUAAGAAUUAUAUUACAUGCUUCUUAUGAUUAUUGAUGUAUUUUAUAGUACUAACACCCUGGUAUUUGGCUAGAAAAAUUGAACAUUUCUUUUCCCCUUAAUAAAUUCUUGAACCACCAAGUGAGGAGGAGGUUUCUCUAAUUCUGAAAAGUUUUGGACAACUAUAUUUUAACAUGUUUUAUACG